This 865-nucleotide ribosomal RNA is filed under the name uncultured Methanocella sp. RNAcentral's name for it is "bacterial SSU rRNA". It matches the Rfam family "Archaeal small subunit ribosomal RNA", at positions 1 to 873 of the family's 1478-position model. The record is from RNAcentral. Lineage: Archaea; Methanobacteriati; Methanobacteriota; Methanomicrobia; Methanocellales; Methanocellaceae.
UUCCGGUUGAUCCUGCCAGAGGUCACUGCUAUCGGUGUCCGAUUAAGCCAUGCGAGUCGAGAGGUGUAAGACCUCGGCAGACUGCUCAGUAACACGUGGAUAACCUGCCCAAGGGUCCGGGAUAACCCCGGGAAACUGGGGAUAAUACCGGAUGGGUCACCAGUGCUGGAAUGCUUGGUGGUCGAAAGGUGACGCCUUUGGAUGGGUCUGCGGCGGAUUAGGUUGACGCCGGUGUAACGUACCGGCGUGCCUGUAAUCCGUACGGGUUGUGGGAGCAAGAGCCCGGAGAUGGAUUCUGAGACACGAAUCCAGGCCCUACGGGGCGCAGCAGGCGCGAAAACUCUACAAUGCAGGCAACUGCGAUAGGGGGACAUCGAGUGGCAUCCACCUUGGGUGUCUGUCCAACCGUCUAAAAAACGGUUGUUAGCAAGGGCCGGGCAAGACCGGUGCCAGCCGCCGCGGUAAUACCGGCGGCUCGAGUGGUGGCCGAUAUUAUUGAGUCUAAAGGGUCCGUAGCCGGCUUUGCAAGUCCCCUGGGAAAUCCGGCGGCUUAACCGUUGGGCUUUCAUGGGAUACUACAUUGCUUGGGACUGGGAGAGGUAGGAGGUACUCGGGGGGUAGGGGUGAAAUCCUGUAAUCCUCCGGGGACCACCGGUGGCGAAAGCGUCCUACCAGAACAGGUCCGACGGUGAGGGACGAAAGCUAGGGGCACGAACCGGAUUAGAUACCCGGGUAGUCCUAGCCGUAAACGAUGCCCGCUAGGUGUCACGACGGUCGUGAAUCGUCGUGGUGCCGUAGGGAAGCCGCGAAGCGGGCCACUUGGGAAGUACGGCCGCAAGGCUGAAACUUAAAGGAAUUGGCGGGA